This 385-nucleotide ribosomal RNA is filed under the name uncultured bacterium. RNAcentral describes it as "bacterial SSU rRNA". It matches the Rfam family "Bacterial small subunit ribosomal RNA", at positions 355 to 731 of the family's 1533-position model. The record is from RNAcentral.
UUGGGAAUAUUGGACAAUGGGCGCAAGCCUGAUCCAGCCAUGCCGCGUGUGUGAAGAAGGCCUUUUGGUUGUAAAGCACUUUAAGCGGGGAGGAGGCAACUUGGGUUAAUACCCCGAUGUUGCGGACGUUACCCGCAGAAUAAGCACCGGCUAACUCUGUGCCAGCAGCCGCGGUAAUACAGAGGGUGCGAGCGUUAAUCGGAAUUACUGGGCGUAAAGCGCGCGUAGGCGGCUUGUUAAGUCGGAUGUGAAAUCCCUGGGCUCAACCUAGGAACUGCAUUCGAUACUGGCAAGCUAGAGUGUGGGAGAGGAAGGUAGAAUUCCAGGUGUAGCGGUGAAAUGCGUAGAGAUCUGGAGGAAUACCGAUGGCGAAGGCAGCCUUCUG